Non-coding RNA from Glycine max (soybean), 103 nucleotides. The record is from Rfam. Lineage: Eukaryota; Viridiplantae; Streptophyta; Magnoliopsida; Fabales; Fabaceae.
UUCUGAUUAGAUGAUAACUGUCACGUGUCACGUUCUGAUUGGACGUUGACAACAAUACAUUAUCAUCGUUUAAUCAGAAUAUGACACGUAAUAGUCAACGUUC